CCCUCAUGUUGAUGGUUGUGAUGAUAGGCUGGCUUUAAAUGAUAUAGAGUUGGCAACAUUUAAAUAGCCAGGAACGCUGGUGGGGGCAUGGAUCAUCCAGGUUCUGAUCUUCAGAUGACUGAGACAAAUCAUCCCCUUAAACGGUUCUGAUCUUCAGAUGACUGAGACAAAUCAUCCCCUUAAACGGUAUCACUGGCACUGCCCAUCAGAGGUAGUCAUUCAUACAGUCAUUCAACACAGAUACCGACAAAGACAUAGUUGGCAACACUGCCGGCACUGCUCACCUACGGGGACGAUCCCUGCUAUUUACAAGAAGACUUCUUCAACCACUGGUGGCUGCUCCGGCUAGCGCUAUUGCACAGCGCCUCCUCUCCGCUGCCUGCGGCUUCCAUCAUCCACGUGGAACCCCCUUCCUUCUGCCAGAGGACUUUCCCCGUUACUAACGGAUGCUCCGGCCAGCGAUACUAUACACCACCUUCCGCUAUCAACGGCUGUCAGCGGCAGCUCCGAAUAGUGUUAUCGGAUGGUGUUUCUCUCUCCUCCAUCUAAGUGGGCACUGUAAAGGAUUUCCACCAGCCCACGGGAGAUUAUAGGAACGUCUCUUGCAUUCCAUCUAAGGACACCUUUUAUUAUAAAGGAGCAGCCCCUGCCAGAGCAAUUGUGCCUUAUUUCCUCUCCCUCAUCAUCACAUCAGUGGGCUAUAGUGGACUCCACCGAGGACGCUCGGUGUCAUUAGCCCAGGAGAGGUAACUUUACAGUUUUAUAUCAAUUGUUAUUCAACCUGUUGCCGGGACUUCCACUAGUAUCUAUCAGCAAUUAAGUGCAUGUUGCCUCUGCACUUACACAAAGUUUGAAGUCUCUCUAUUGCUUACAUGGAGGGAAAAUCACUGGAGUGAUACAUUCUUAGUGAGCAGCUACAUUAAUGUUACUUUUCUAAACAGUAUUACCAAUUUAAAUACUAUAUAUAUAUAUAUAUAUAUAUAAACAGUAAAUUCAUCUUGUGGUUACUGUUUAUUGAAAAUAUGUACGGUGUCUCAGAGUAUAUAUAAUUUUAUAUUUAUUUAUGUAUUGUGCAUAUGUUUAUUUA
Long non-coding RNA from Pseudophryne corroboree (corroboree frog), 1087 nucleotides. RefSeq lists it as uncharacterized. NCBI's taxonomy places the organism in Eukaryota, Metazoa, Chordata, Amphibia, Anura, Myobatrachidae. The transcript has 5 exons. The record is from RefSeq and is a predicted model, not a curated record.